ACGGACACAUCACGUUGAAACACCGAUUCCCGUACGAUCACCGAAGUUAAGCAACGACGAGCCUAGUCAGUAUCUAGAUGGGCAACCGUUUGGGAAUACCAGGUGCUGUAAG
This is a non-coding RNA of Acanthosepion pharaonis, 112 nucleotides long. Lineage: Eukaryota; Metazoa; Mollusca; Cephalopoda; Sepiida; Sepiidae. The record is from the annotation of a GenBank genome assembly.